Molecule: unclassified non-coding RNA, 297 nt
Filed under: Hyphoderma litschaueri
Lineage: Eukaryota; Fungi; Basidiomycota; Agaricomycetes; Polyporales; Hyphodermataceae
Description: partial contains 5.8S ribosomal RNA, internal transcribed spacer 2, and large subunit ribosomal RNA
Source: RNAcentral
CGCACCUUGCGCUCCUUGGUAUUCCGAGGAGCAUGCCUGUUUGAGUGUCAUGUAAUCCUCAAUCCCUUUCAGUUUUUACUGAUUGAGAUUGGAUCUUGGAGGUUGCUGGUUAAUUCUUUAAUCAGCUCCUCUUAAAUGCAGUAGUGUGAACCCUUGCUCAAGUGUUCUCCAGUGUAAUAAUCAUUUGCGCUGCUAGAAACUUGGCAUUUACAGUGAUUCAUGCUUCCAACCAUCCCUUGUGGGAUAAUAUACUUUGCAUUUGACCUCAAAUCAGGUAGGACUACCCGCUGAACUUAA